Molecule: long non-coding RNA, 211 nt
Organism: Bufo bufo (common toad)
Lineage: Eukaryota; Metazoa; Chordata; Amphibia; Anura; Bufonidae
Exons: 2
Source: RefSeq, a predicted model, not a curated record
GACUCUAAAAAGUGGGCAGAGCCACAAACAACCAAUCAGAUUUUCCCUAUUGACUUCAAUGAGAAACCUUUAAAAAGCUGUCAUUCUCACAGUAUUUAAGCCACAGCACCCAAACUCGGCAGGGUGGGUCAGUGUGUGACAAAGGCUAAAAUUUAUAAAACUGGGCGGAGUCUACAAUGGCCAAUCAAAUUUUAGCCAUUUGUUUAAAUGG